UUCAGUCAACCUAGUUGACCUUCUGGAGCUGAAUUCUUUCUGCAAAGUACCCUCCUUUUUCAUGGUGGUUGAAGGUGUAGUAGCCACCUUUCUCCGGCUGCUUCUUACAGUUGCUAUACCAGGUGUGCACCACUCCAUCUUCUCACCUUCUUUCCGGCGAGAUGAAGUCGCCGGAGUUUUCCUCCUGGUGGUCGGAUGUGCCGGGGUUGGGUGGCUGAUAAGAUCAAACAAAGUUGUUGGAGUUGGAGAGAGUUGGUUUUUCUCUUCAAUUGAAGAACAUCCUUCAAAAUCCACAGUUUCACAUGGUUUUGAUUUCUCAACAAAUUCCACGUCAGCAUUAUCUUCUACAAAGCUCUCCGAGUGUUCUUCUGGAAUAAGAUCAUCUUUCUCCUCUUCAAAAU
This 401-nucleotide long non-coding RNA is filed under the name Lactuca sativa (garden lettuce). Its description in RNAcentral is "long non-coding RNA (LSAT_LNC008671)". Lineage: Eukaryota; Viridiplantae; Streptophyta; Magnoliopsida; Asterales; Asteraceae. The record is from RNAcentral.